UCCGGUUUGUUUCCGGCGGUCUCCCUAGAUUUGCAACUAAGGACAAGGGUUGCGCUCGUUGCGGGACUUAACCCAACAUCUCACGACACGAGCUGACGACAGCCAUGCAGCAUCUGUGCACCUGUCCUUGCGGAGGCUGUUCUUUCAAACAGUUGCAGGUGCAUGUCAAGCCUUGGUAAGGUUCUUCGCGUUGCAUCGAAUUAAACCACACGCUCCGCUGCUUGUGCGGGCCCCCGCCUAUUCCUUUGAGUUUUAACCUUGCGGCCGUAGUCCCCAGGCGGUGAACUUAAUGCGUUAGCUGCGGCACUGAUCGGGUCAAUCCGACCAACACCUAGUUCACAACGUUUAGGGCGUGGACUAC
Molecule: unclassified non-coding RNA, 361 nt
Filed under: uncultured Chloroflexota bacterium
Lineage: Bacteria; Bacillati; Chloroflexota
Description: uncultured Chloroflexi bacterium contains 16S-23S intergenic spacer region
Source: RNAcentral